UUCUUUUUCCCUCCUCCCCUGUUUCCUCCGAACCCCUUUCAGCCUCCUCCGUUGCUUCCUCCCAUACUGCCACCACCAGCUCCACUUAUUCCAAACCCAUUUCAGCCUCCUCCAGCUCCACUUAUUCCAAACCCCUUUCAGCCUCCUCCAGCUCCUCUUAUUCCAAACCCUUUUCAGCCUCCUCCAGCCCCACCGGCUCCACUUAUUCCAAACCCUUUUCAGCCUCCUCCCGCACCACCGGCUCCACUUAUUCCAAACCCUUUCCAGCCUCCUCCCGCACCUCCAGCUCCAUUUAUCCCAAACCCCUUCCAGCCUCCUUCGGCACCUCCAGCACCUCCAGCACCAUGGUUUCAUCUUCCACCGAUUCCAGGACUAACUCCACCACCAUCGCCACCACCUCCACCUCCACCAACCUUCCCGUUUCCUCUUCCCCCAUUCCAUUUCCCACCUAUACCGCCUUUCCCUGGUAUCCCCCCUGCCUCUGC
Molecule: long non-coding RNA, 485 nt
Filed under: Gossypium barbadense (sea-island cotton)
Lineage: Eukaryota; Viridiplantae; Streptophyta; Magnoliopsida; Malvales; Malvaceae
Description: long non-coding RNA (GBAR_LNC010135)
Source: RNAcentral